This 250-nucleotide ribosomal RNA is filed under the name uncultured Lachnospiraceae bacterium. RNAcentral describes it as "partial 16S ribosomal RNA". It matches the Rfam family "Bacterial small subunit ribosomal RNA", at positions 524 to 773 of the family's 1533-position model. The record is from RNAcentral. Lineage: Bacteria; Bacillati; Bacillota; Clostridia; Lachnospirales; Lachnospiraceae.
UACGUAUGGGGCAAGCGUUAUCCGGAUUUACUGGGUGUAAAGGGAGCGUAGGUGGUCUGGCAAGUCAGAAGUGAAAGCCCGGGGCUCAACCCCGGGACUGCUUUUGAAACUGCUAGGCUAGAGUGCAGGAGAGGUAAGUGGAAUUCCUAGUGUAGCGGUGAAAUGCGUAGAUAUUAGGAGGAACACCAGUGGCGAAGGCGGCUUACUGGACUGUAACUGACACUGAGGCUCGAAGGCGUGGGGAGCAAAC